Molecule: ribosomal RNA, 472 nt
Filed under: uncultured Anoxybacillus sp.
Lineage: Bacteria; Bacillati; Bacillota; Bacilli; Caryophanales; Anoxybacillaceae
Description: bacterial SSU rRNA
Rfam family: Bacterial small subunit ribosomal RNA
Source: RNAcentral
UUGACGGGGGCCCGCACAGCGGUGAGCAUGUGGUUUAAUUCGAAGCAACGCGAAGAACCUUACCAGGUCUUGACAUCCCCUGACAACCCGAGAGAUCGGGCGUUCCCCCUUCGGGGGACAGGGUGACAGGUGGUGCAUGGUUGUCGUCAGCUCGUGUCGUGAGAUGUUGGGUUAAGUCCCGCAACGAGCGCAACCCUCGACCUUAGUUGCCAGCAUUCAGUUGGGCACUCUAAGGUGACUGCCGGCUAAAAGUCGGAGGAAGGUGGGGAUGACGUCAAAUCAUCAUGCCCCUUAUGACCUGGGCUACACACGUGCUACAAUGGGCGGUACAAAGGGUCGCGAACCCGCGAGGGGGAGCCAAUCCCAAAAAGCCGCUCUCAGUUCGGAUUGCAGGCUGCAACUCGCCUGCAUGAAGCCGGAAUCGCUAGUAAUCGUGGAUCAGAAUGUCACGGUGAAUACGUUCCCGGGUCUU